CCCCGUGAAACUGACGGUACCUGCAGAAUAAGCACCGGCUAACUACGUGCCAGCAGCCGCGGUAAUACGUAGGGUGCAAGCGUUAAUCGGAAUUACUGGGCGUAAAGCGUGCGCAGGCGGUUCGGAAAGAAAGAUGUGAAAUCCCAGAGCUUAACUUUGGAACUGCAUUUUUAACUACCGAGCUAGAGUGUGUCAGAGGGAGGUGGAAUUCCGCGUGUAGCAGUGAAAUGCGUAGAUAUGCGGAGGAACACCGAUGGCGAAGGCAGCCUCCUGGGAUAACACUGACGCUCAUGCACGAAAGCGUGGGGAGCAAACAGGAUUAGAUACCCUGGUAGUCCAAGGGCGAAUUCCC
This 352-nucleotide ribosomal RNA is filed under the name uncultured bacterium. Its description in RNAcentral is "bacterial SSU rRNA". It matches the Rfam family "Bacterial small subunit ribosomal RNA", at positions 459 to 810 of the family's 1533-position model. The record is from RNAcentral.